This 167-nucleotide ribosomal RNA is filed under the name Bacillus mojavensis. RNAcentral's name for it is "partial 16S ribosomal RNA". It matches the Rfam family "Bacterial small subunit ribosomal RNA", at positions 328 to 505 of the family's 1533-position model. Lineage: Bacteria; Bacillati; Bacillota; Bacilli; Caryophanales; Bacillaceae. The record is from RNAcentral.
GGCCCAGACUCCUACGGGAGGCAGCAGUAGGGAAUCUUCCGCAAUGGACGAAAGUCUGACGGAGCAACGCCGCCGAGUGAAGAAGGUUUUCGGAUCGUAAAGAAUGUUUUUAGGGAAGAACAAACACCGUUCGAAUAAGGCGGUACCUGACGGACCUACCAGGACCG